UGGGGAAUCUUCCGCAAUGGACGAAAGUCUGACGGAGCAACGCCGCGUGAGUGAAGAAGGUUUUCGGAUCGUAAAACUCUGUCUUUUGGGGCGAACGUGAGUAUGGUGAACAAUCAUAGUCAGUGACGGUACCAAAGGAGGAAGCCACGGCUAACUACGUGCCAGCAGCCGCGGUAAUACGUAGGUGGCAAGCGUUGUCCGGAAUUAUUGGGCGUAAAGAGCGCGUAGGCGGGAUAGUCAGUCUGUUGUAAAGUGCGGGGCUCAACCCCGUGAUCGCAAUGGAAACAGCUAUUCUUGAGUGCAGGAGAGGAAAGGUGGAAUUCCCAGUGUAGCGGUGAAAUGCGUAGAUAUUGGGAGGAACACCAGUGGCGAAGGCGACUUUCUGGACUGUGUCUGACGCUGAGGCGCGAAAGCCAGGGGAGCGAACGGGAUUAGAUACCCCCGGUAGUCCUGGCCGUAAACCGAUGGGUACUAGGUGUGGGAGGUAUCGACCCCUUUCCGUGCCGGAGUUAACGCAAUAAGUACCCCGCCUGGGGAGUACGGUCGCAAGACUGAAACUUAAAUGAAUUGACGGGGGUCAUAGCUGUUUCCUG
Molecule: ribosomal RNA, 593 nt
Filed under: uncultured bacterium
Lineage: Bacteria
Description: partial 16S ribosomal RNA
Rfam family: Bacterial small subunit ribosomal RNA
Source: RNAcentral